RNAcentral lists this ribosomal RNA (2500 nucleotides) under Lomamyia banksi. RNAcentral describes it as "SSU rRNA". It matches the Rfam family "Eukaryotic small subunit ribosomal RNA". Lineage: Eukaryota; Metazoa; Arthropoda; Insecta; Neuroptera; Berothidae. The record is from RNAcentral.
CUCAAAGAUUAAGCCAUGCAUGUCUCAGUACAAGCCAAAUUAAGGUGAAACCGCGAAAGGCUCAUUAUAUCAGUUAUGGUUCCUUAGAUCGUACCCACAUUUACUUGGAUAACUGUGGUAAUUCUAGAGCUAAUACAUGCAAACAGAGUUCCGACCAGAGAUGGAAGGAAUGCUUUUAUUAGAUCAAAACCAAUCGAUGUUUCAUAUUUGUACAUUAAUUUGUAUUAUUUAUGUUGCAUCGUUCUUUUUGGUGACUCUGAAUAACUUUAAGCUGAUCGCACGGUCUCGUACCGGCGACGCAUCUUUCAAAUGUCUGCCUUAUCAACUGUCGAUGGUAGGUUUUGCGCCUACCAUGGUUGUAACGGGUAACGGGGAAUCAGGGUUCGAUUCCGGAGAGGGAGCCUGAGAAACGGCUACCACAUCCAAGGAAGGCAGCAGGCGCGCAAAUUACCCACUCCCGGCACGGGGAGGUAGUGACGAAAAAUAACGAUACGGGACUCAUCCGAGGCCCCGUAAUCGGAAUGAGUACACUUUAAAUCCUUUAACGAGGAUCCAUUAGAGAGGGCAAUUCUGGUGCCAACCGCCGCGGUAAUUCCAGCUCUAAUAGCGUAUAUUAAAGUUGUUGCGGUUAAAAAGCUCGUAGCCGAAUCUGUGUCUCACACUGUCGGUUCACCGCUCGCGGUGUUCAACUGGCAUGUUAUGUGAGACGUCCUACCGGUGGGUGGUGUAAAUUAUUGUUAUUAUCUUUGCCCCUGUAUAUUGUUGUAUGCACCAAUGUGUCUGUGUAUGACGUAUGUUAAUAUGCUGUUAUCAGUAUCGGCUAUAUGAAAAACGAUUAUAUUUCAUACACACACACAUUUAUUAGCUGGUGUAUGUGUGUGUGCGCGCAUUAUACAUAUGUUAAUAGCAUUUGUGUGUGCGUGUAUCACACUGCACCGGGCUGAUUUAUUGGCGUGUGGAAAAAUUAUUUUCCAAUUUUGAUAUGCGUCAGAUUUGAUAUACACGCAUAUAUAUACAUGCCCAUACGCCACUUGGAUUCAAAUGUAUAUUAUACGUAUAUGCAGUUGGGUGGAUAAUAUACAUCAAAUAAUUUGCCGUAAGUGUUUAGCCGUGAAGAACGGCGGCAGCCCCCAAUUGCAAUCCUGUCCGGUCCUCUUAAUUGAGUGUCGAGGUGGCCCGGUACGUUUACUUUGAGCAAAUUAGAGUGCUUAAGGCAGGCUAAAAUUUCGCCUGAAUAUUGUGUGCAUGGAAUAAUGGAAUAGGACCUCGGUUCUAUUUUGUUGGUUUUCGGAACUCCGAGGUAAUGAUUAAUACGGACAGAUGGGGGCAUUCGUAUUGCGACGUUAGAGGUGAAAUUCUUGGACCGUCGCAAGACGGACAGAAGCGAAAGCAUUUGCCAAAAAUGUUUUGAUUGAUCAAGAACGAAAGUUAGAGGUUCGAAGGCGAUCAGAUACCGCCCUAGUUCUAACCAUAAACGAUGCCAGCUAGCGAUCCGCCGAAGUUCUUCCGAUGACUCGGCGGGCAGCUUCCGGGAAACCAAAGCUUUUGGGUUCCGGGGGAAGUAUGGUUGCAAAGCUGAAACUUAAAGGAAUUGACGGAAGGGCACCACCAGGAGUGGAGCCUGCGGCUUAAUUUGACUCAACACGGGAAACCUCACCAGGCCCGGACACCGGAAGGAUUGACAGAUUGAGAGCUCUUUCUUGAUUCGGUGGGUGGUGGUGCAUGGCCGUUCUUAGUUGGUGGAGCGAUUUGUCUGGUUAAUUCCGAUAACGAACGAGACUCUAGCCUGCUAAAUAGACGUACCUUACCGGCAUCUCAAGGCCCAUCGGCUGUAAUGUACCGUUACGCUUGUUGCACACUUUUUAAUGUAUUAUAUUCUCAUUUCAUACAUACUGAUUUCAUUCAACUGGUACAUAUACUCGCACGUGUGCGCGCGCGCACUGUAUGUGUGUUCAUUCACUUGUGGGUGGCAUAUAUAUUGGUGUGUGUGUGUGUGUGUGUGUGUGUGGUGUAUAUAUAUUGGGGGGGUGGUGUGUGUGUAUGGGGUAUUUUAAAGUGGGUGUGUUUACACGUGCGGUCUACAGUUUUUUGAUGUGGUUUUACUGCCGGCGUACAUAUUAAUCUUCUUAGAGGGACAGGCGGUUUCUUAGCCGCACGAGAUUGAGCAAUAACAGGUCUGUGAUGCCCUUAGAUGUUUUGGGCCGCACGCGCGCUACACUGAAGGAAUCAGCGUGUCCUCCCUGGCCGAAAGGUCCGGGUAACCCGCUGAACCUCCUUCGUGCUAGGGAUUGGGGCUUGCAAUUGUUCCCCAUGAACGAGGAAUUCCCAGUAAGCGCGAGUCAUAAGCUCGCGUUGAUUACGUCCCUGCCCUUUGUACACACCGCCCGUCGCUACUACCGAUUGAAUGAUUUAGUGAGGCCUUCGGACUGGUACACGGCAAAGUGUUUCUGACAUUUACCGUAGUUGCUGGGAAGAUGGCCAAACUUGAUCAUUUAGAGGA